GACGAACGCUGGCGGCGUGCUUAACACAUGCAAGUCGAACGGAAAGGCCCUGCUUUUGUGAGGUGCUCGAGUGGCGAACGGGUGAGUAACACGUGAGUAACCUGCCCUUGACUUUGGGAUAACUUCAGGAAACUGGGGCUAACACCGGAUAGGAGCUCCUGCUGCAUGGUGGGGGUUGGAAAGUUUCGGCGGUUGGGGAUGGACUCGCGGCUUAUCAGCUUGUUGGUGGGGUAGUGGCUUACCAAGGCUUUGACGGGUAGCCGGCCUGAGAGGGUGACCGGCCACAUUGGGACUGAGAUACGGCCCAGACUCCUACGGGAGGCAGCAGUGGGGAAUAUUGCACAAUGGGCGGAAGCCUGAUGCAGCAACGCCGCGUGCGGGAUGACGGCCUUCGGGUUGUAAACCGCUUUCGCCUGUGACGAAGCGUGAGUGACGGUAAUGGGUAAAGAAGCACCGGCUAACUACGUG
Molecule: ribosomal RNA, 468 nt
Filed under: uncultured bacterium
Lineage: Bacteria
Description: partial 16S ribosomal RNA
Rfam family: Bacterial small subunit ribosomal RNA
Source: RNAcentral